This 502-nucleotide ribosomal RNA is filed under the name uncultured bacterium. RNAcentral's name for it is "bacterial SSU rRNA". It matches the Rfam family "Bacterial small subunit ribosomal RNA", at positions 94 to 630 of the family's 1533-position model. The record is from RNAcentral.
AGCGGCAGACGGGAGAGUAACACGUGGGAACGUGCCCUUCAGUUUCGGAACAACCCAGGGAAACUUGGGCUAAUACCGGAUACGUCCGUAAGGAGAAAGAUUUAUCGCUGAAGGAUCGGCCCGCGUCUGAUUAGCUAGUUGGUGAGGUAACGGCUCACCAAGGCGACGAUCAGUAGCUGGUCUGAGAGGAUGAUCAGCCUCACUGGGACUGAGACACGGCCCAGACUCCUACGGGAGGCAGCAGUGGGGAAUAUUGGACAAUGGGCGCAAGCCUGAUCCAGCCAUGCCGCGUGGGUGAUGAAGGCCCUAGGGUUGUAAAGCCCUUUCGGCGGGGAAGAUAAUGACGGUACCCGCAGAAGAAGCCCCGGCUAACUUCGUGCCAGCAGCCGCGGUAAUACGAAGGGGGCUAGCGUUGCUCGGAAUCACUGGGCGUAAAGCGCACGUAGGCGGCUUUUUAAGUCAGGGGUGAAAUCCUGGAGCUCAACUCCAGAACUGCCCUUGA